Bos taurus (domestic cattle) is the source of this 1137-nucleotide long non-coding RNA. NCBI's taxonomy places the organism in Eukaryota, Metazoa, Chordata, Mammalia, Artiodactyla, Bovidae. The record is from Ensembl.
GUGCUAAUUAAAGGCACAGUAGCACCUAGACGAUCCUGCUGCAAAGCUUGCCUUUUGGCCCCAUCUGUUCAGCAUUUUAAUGAAUAACUUGACUAAAGCUACAAAAGGCAAGUUUAUUAAAAAUGUGUGUGUCCUAAGGCUGAGAAAGAAUGAUUAUACUAAAUGACAGAAUUUAAAAAAUCUAAACAGGCAGAAAAAUGGGGCAGAUGAACUAUGUAAGAUUGUAAAAUCUUACACUGCAGUUAUUAAAAAAAAAUGUGCAAGGUCAAGAUAGACCCUGGUGCUGCCUCGUGUAGCAAACACCGGGGAAAGAAAGCCUGCGGCCCCCGUCCCAGCAAACUGGGUGCCAGAGCUUGGGCCUGGGGGUCUUGGGGUCCCGUCUCCCCAGCAGCCUGUGUGGAGACAGCGUGGUUCCUAAGACGCUGCCCUAACCUGGAGGCAGCCCGGCAGAAACUGCCCUGAGACUUGGGAGCUGACAGAAAAAACGGUGUAAAUGCAGCAGGUGGGAGGGCAGAAACAUGAGCGGUGAAGCGAGAGGAGCCAGGGGCGCCGAUGAGCUGGGGGCGGCCGCCCCGCAGACCAGGCCGCUGGUUUAGAGCCUUUCAGUGAGUCGCACCUAGGAGAGAACGGGAACCAGGCUGUAGCAACCCAAGGAGAGCGGUGUCCAGGGUGGUGAGUGAGCCUCCAGGAGGAGACACAACAGCGCACCCAGAGCUUUCCAGGCAAAGCUGCCUCGAUGGACUGGUCCUCCGCCCUCAGCUCUCCUUCCUAGAACACAGUAACGCUGUCCGUGGGCACCUUCGACUUUCCCCUCACAAACGUUCCCACAAUAACUCAGACUUCGACUUCAGUACCAAGGGCCUGUUGAGUGACUGAAAUGCUUGGUGUCGGUGUCCUGCUUCUGCCUAUUGAACCCCUGUGACCAUGUGAGCAGUCUCCACGGCGGUUCCAUGUGCUCCUGAGAAGAAGGGAUUUUUCUCUAUUUUAGGUGAGGCUAAACGCUUCUCCAAAAGCUGCUGCUGCUGCUAAGUCGCUUCAGUCGUGUCCGACUCUGUGCGACCCCAUAGACGGCAGCCCACCAGGCUCCCCCGUCCCUGGGAUUCUCCAGGCAAGAACACUGGAGUGGGUUGCCGUUUC